UAGGGAAUCUUCCGCAAUGGACGCAAGUCUGACGGAGCAACGCCGCGUGAGUGAUGAAGGAUUUCGGUUCGUAAAACUCUGUUGUUAGAGAAGAACAGCGCAUAGAGUAACUGUUAUGCGUGUGACGGUAUCUAACCAGAAAGCCACGGCUAACUACGUGCCAGCAGCCGCGGUAAUACGUAGGUGGCAAGCGUUGUCCGGAUUUAUUGGGCGUAAAGCGAGCGCAGGCGGUCAAUUAAGUCUGAUGUGAAAGCCCCCGGCUCAACCGGGGAGGGUCAUUGGAAACUGGUUGACUUGAGUGCAGAAGAGGAGAGUGGAAUUCCAUGUGUAGCGGUGAAAUGCGUAGAUAUAUGGAGGAACACCAGUGGCGAAGGCGACUCUCUGGUCUGUAACUGACGCUGAGGCUCGAAAGCGUGGGUAGCAAACAGG
This 429-nucleotide ribosomal RNA is filed under the name Bacteroidota bacterium. Its description in RNAcentral is "Bacteroidetes bacterium partial 16S ribosomal RNA". It matches the Rfam family "Bacterial small subunit ribosomal RNA", at positions 355 to 776 of the family's 1533-position model. Lineage: Bacteria; Pseudomonadati; Bacteroidota. The record is from RNAcentral.